Molecule: transfer RNA, 75 nt
Filed under: Gammaproteobacteria bacterium
Lineage: Bacteria; Pseudomonadati; Pseudomonadota; Gammaproteobacteria
Also listed under: 2 other names
Description: tRNA-Thr
Rfam family: tRNA
About the family: Transfer RNA (tRNA) molecules are approximately 80 nucleotides in length. Their secondary structure includes four short double-helical elements and three loops (D, anti-codon, and T loops). Further hydrogen bonds mediate the characteristic L-shaped molecular structure. tRNAs have two regions of fundamental functional importance: the anti-codon, which is responsible for specific mRNA codon recognition, and the 3' end, to which the tRNAs corresponding amino acid is attached (by aminoacyl-tRNA synthetases). tRNAs cope with the degeneracy of the genetic code in two manners: having more than one tRNA (with a specific anti-codon) for a particular amino acid; and 'wobble' base-pairing, i.e. permitting non-standard base-pairing at the 3rd anti-codon position.
Source: RNAcentral
GCCGACGUAGCUCAAUGGUAGAGCAACUGAUUUGUAAUCAGUAGGUUGGGGGUUCGACUCCCUUCGUCGGCUCCA